RNAcentral lists this ribosomal RNA (1401 nucleotides) under uncultured bacterium. RNAcentral's name for it is "bacterial SSU rRNA". It matches the Rfam family "Bacterial small subunit ribosomal RNA". The record is from RNAcentral.
AGAGUUUGAUCCUGGCUCAGGAUGAACGCUGGCGGCGUGCUUAACACAUGCAAGUCGAGCGAAGCACUUUGGAAUGAUCCUUCGGGUGAAUGAAGAAGUGACUGAGCGGCGGACGGGUGAGUAACGCGUGGGUAACCUGCCUCACACAGGGGGAUAACAGUUAGAAAUGACUGCUAAUACCGCAUAAGACCACAGCACCGCAUGGUGCAGGGGUAAAAACUCCGGUGGUGUGAGAUGGACCCGCGUCUGAUUAGCUAGUUGGUGAGGUAACGGCUCACCAAGGCGACGAUCAGUAGCCGACCUGAGAGGGUGACCGGCCACAUUGGGACUGAGACACGGCCCAAACUCCUACGGGAGGCAGCAGUGGGGAAUAUUGCACAAUGGGCGAAAGCCUGAUGCAGCGACGCCGCGUGAAGGAUGAAGUAUUUCGGUAUGUAAACUUCUAUCAGCAGGGAAGAAAAUGACGGUACCUGACUAAGAAGCCCCGGCUAACUACGUGCCAGCAGCCGCGGUAAUACGUAGGGGGCAAGCGUUAUCCGGAUUUACUGGGUGUAAAGGGAGCGUAGACGGCGAUGCAAGUCUGAAGUGAAAGGCAUGGGCUCAACCUGUGGACUGCUUUGGAAACUGUGUUGCUAGAAUGUCGGAGAGGCAAGGGGAAUUCCUAGUGUAGCGGUGAAAUGCGUAGAUAUUAGGAGGAACACCAGUGGCGAAGGCGCCUUGCUGGACGAUGAUUGACGUUGAGGCUCGAAAGCGUGGGGAGCAAACAGGAUUAGAUACCCUGGUAGUCCACGCCGUAAACGAUGAACACUAGGUGUUGCGGGUAUCGACCCCUGCAGUGCCGUAGCUAACGCGAUAAGUGUUCCGCCUGGGGAGUACGCACGCAAGUGUGAAACUUAAAGGAAUUGACGGGGACCCGCACAAGCGGUGGAACAUGUGGUUUAAUUCGAAGCAACGCGAAAAACCUUACCAGGACUUGACAUUGAUAGAAUCCGGAUUGAAAGUCUGGAGUGCCCUUCGGGGAGCUUGAAAACAGGUGGUGCACGGUUGUCGUCAGCUCGUGUCGUGAGAUGUUGGGUUAAGUCCCGCAACGAGCGCAACCCUUGUCGUUAGUUGGUCAUAGCGGUAUACUUCUAUGUACCUCUCUAGCGAGACUGCCGGUGAUAAACCGGAGGAAGGUGAGGAGGACGUCAAAUCAUCAUGCCCCUUACGUUCUGGGCUACACACGUGUUACAAUGGCUGGUACAACGAGCAGCAAAUCAGCGAUGAUAAGCAAAUCUCUUAACCCAGUCUCAGUUCGGAUUGCACUCUGCAACUCGAGUGCAUGAAGUCGGAAUCGCUAGUAAACGCAGAUCAGCACGCUGCGUUGAAUACGUUCCCGGGUCUUGCACACACCGCCCGUCA